Molecule: ribosomal RNA, 791 nt
Filed under: uncultured archaeon
Lineage: Archaea
Description: bacterial SSU rRNA
Rfam family: Archaeal small subunit ribosomal RNA
Source: RNAcentral
CGAGUCAACAUAGCAAUAUGUGGCAUACGGCUCAGUAACACGUAGUCAACAUGCCCAGGGGACGUGGAUAACCUCGGGAAACUGAGGAUAAACCGCGAUAGGUCAUCACUUCUGGAAUGGGUAAUGACUUAAAUCUAUAUGGCCCCUGGAUUGGACUGCGGCCGAUCAGGCUGUUGGUGAGGUAAUGGCCCACCAAACCUGUAACCGGUACGGGCUCUGAGAGGAGGAGCCCGGAGAUGGGCACUGAGACAAGGGCCCAGGCCCUAUGGGGCGCAGCAGGCGCGAAACCUUUGCAAUAGGCGAAAGCUUGACAGGGUUACUCUGAGUGAUUUCCGUUAAGGAGAUCUUUUGGCACCUCUAAAAAUGGUGCAGAAUAAGGGGUGGGCAAGUCUGGUGUCAGCCGCCGCGGUAAUACCAGCACCCCGAGUGGUCGGGACGUUUAUUGGGCCUAAAGCAUCCGUAGCCGGUUCUACAAGUCUUCCGUUAAAUCCACCUGCUUAGCAGAUGGGCUGCGGAAGAUACUAUAGAGCUAGGAGGCGGGAGAGGCAAGCGGUACUCGAUGGGUAGGGGUAAAAUCCGUUGAUCCAUUGAAGACCACCAGUGGCGAAGGCGGCUUGCCAGAACGCGCUCGACGGUGAGGGAUGAAAGCUGGGGGAGCAAACCGGAUUAGAUACCCGGGUAGUCCCAGCUGUAAACGAUGCAGACUCGGUGAUGAGUUGGCUUAUUGCUAACUCAGUGCCGCAGGGAAGCCGUUAAGUUUGCCGCCUGGGGAGUACGGUCGCAAGACUGAA